GGGAUAAUUCGAGAGACAGAAGCUAAUUUUAGAGUUCGUUCUUCUCCAUAUGAAUACCAGAUUAGUGUAGUUUCAUCCUGUUAAAGAUACGAAAAAUGAAGCCAUUGAAGCGGUUAAGAUAUCUAGUAAUGAUCGUGGAGAUGCGCAACAAGAAGAAGAUGUAAAAUAAAAAACUUAUUGGUAUCAAAUGAAUCCAAUAUCCUAAUGUAAGGGAAAUUACUCACAGUAGAAAUUCUGAAUGGACAAAGUUUUGGCUUUCAUUUAUGGCUAUACUUGAUUAACUGGGAACCUUUUUUUUAAUGCAAUGAAUGCCUUAAUGAGCAAGAGAGAGGAAUAUUAGGUGAAAAGUUGUCAAAUCUCACAGAGAUCAAAAUCUUGAAUAUAUAUGUUUAACCAUAUCAAAGUGAGUGUGUGAAAGGGUAGUCUACAGAAAGGGCAACAUUUUCACUGCUAGAAAGUUGGAAACUAAACUUUUACAUAGAUAAUGGGUUUUUUUUUAAUUCCCUUCACAAAUCGAAAAGCAAAUUGUUCGAGUAAUGUAGCUAAAUUCAAUAUACAUAUGUGUUGAUCUAUGUAAAAUGGUUAUAAGUUAUAACUGUAUUGUCAUAAAAUAAUAGCCAGGCCAAGAUUCCAUUCAAUUACCAUCUUUUCAGAAAGAAAACUCAAUAGGGAAAUGCACAAAAUGUAUGCAAACCCGAAAGUGAAAAAAAGGGAACCGAAUCUCCAGUGCAUCCUCCGUCCAUUUGGGUUUCUAAUGGAUUACAGAAUAAAUGUCUUUCUUCUGAGGACUCUAAACUGAACCAAAUAAAAUUAUGGAAAAUUAAACAUAAAAAAGAAAACCCAAAAUUCCACUUAUCCAAAUAAGAAAGGAAAAUAGAAUCAAACAUAAGUGGAGCCAGAGAGAGCAUACCCAAACCAAUAGUGGUGUUCCAACCCCUGCGAUUUCACAAACUUCUCAGUGGAGGAAGGAAAACACAAAAUACACCCUAGCUCACAAAUUUUGAACAAAACACUACAACUCACCACAUAACGAAAUUGUUAGGGUUUCCUCAAAACAACACAAAUCAGAAACACGAACUUACAUACAACUCUUUCAGAACAUACCUGAGUUGAAUUUGAUUUCUUAGACAACAAUCUCAAACCGCGCCGCCGCUAAAUCGACAAAAAAUCGCCGGAAAGCCAGUCCCAACUCCGGGAUCGCCGAUGAUAACAGAGAUCAACACCCUGAAAUUCUUUCCUCGACGAUCGCAAAAUCAGGAUAAAAUGAUUUUACCCAAUUUUUUCCCCCAAAAAAAACAAAGGAUCGAACACGAAGAAAGCAAGACGAAGACAGAGAAGAGGAAAAGCUUGCAAGAGACAAAAGAUAAACAGAAAGGUAAAGUGAAGAGAACGUAAUCGAAGCUCACUAACAAAAGAUGAUCAACGUGUGGUAAUAAGGGGCAAAACAGGCAUUUAAGUGUGCAAAACAGGCAGCAAAACAUCAAACAAAAUAAAAAAUCAAGG
This 1503-nucleotide long non-coding RNA is filed under the name Malus domestica (apple). RNAcentral describes it as "long non-coding RNA (MDOM_LNC002815)". Lineage: Eukaryota; Viridiplantae; Streptophyta; Magnoliopsida; Rosales; Rosaceae. The record is from RNAcentral.